Molecule: Y RNA, 98 nt
Filed under: Microcebus murinus (gray mouse lemur)
Lineage: Eukaryota; Metazoa; Chordata; Mammalia; Primates; Cheirogaleidae
Description: Y RNA (ENSMICG00000045334.1)
Rfam family: Y RNA
About the family: Y RNAs are components of the Ro ribonucleoprotein particle (Ro RNP), in association with Ro60 and La proteins.
Source: Rfam by way of RNAcentral
GGUCGCUCCAAGUGCAGUGGCAUUUAUAAUUAAUUGAUCACAACUAGUUAUAGAUUCCUUUGUUCCUUCUCCAUUCCCACUGCUUCACUCGACCAGAA